Molecule: ribosomal RNA, 371 nt
Filed under: uncultured organism
Description: partial 16S ribosomal RNA
Rfam family: Bacterial small subunit ribosomal RNA
Source: RNAcentral
GUAGGUGGCAAGCGUUGUCCGGAAGUAUUGGGCGUAAAGCGCGCGCAGGCGGUUCUUUAAGUCUGAUGUGAAAGCCCACGGCUCAACCGUGGAGGGUCAUUGGAAACUGGAGAACUUGAGUACAGAAGAGGAAAGCGGAAUUCCACGUGUAGCGGUGAAAUGCGUAGAGAUGUGGAGGAACACCAGUGGCGAAGGCGGCUUUCUGGUCUGUAACUGACGCUGAGGCGCGAAAGCGUGGGGGAGCAAACAGGAUUAGAUACCCUGGUAGUCCACGCCGUAAACGAUGAGUGCUAAGUGUUAGGGGGUUUCCGCCCCUUAGUGCUGCAGCUAACGCAUUAAGCACUCCGCCUGGGAGUACGGCCGCAAGGCUG